CCCCUCUGAGUACCUUGCAAUGACUUAGCGGUCAUCGGCCUGGAGCUAGUGCAGGGGAACCACCCUACUGGAUCCUAUCCGUGGUGCGGAGAACUGUGUGGAUGGGCAAGACACACACGCCUCCAAAAUGGGACUGAGCAUCCAGAGGGCCAGAGCUGGGAUGCGAACCGGAGCAAUUGAGCAACGAACGGGGAGUGGAGAAAUGGGAAGGUCAACGCAGGAACAGUUUCUACUCCGUACUCCCACCCGCUUCAUUUGCCACUCUACAUAACCCAGCAUGCAACAUGCACUGUGGAUGGAAUCGAGAUAUGGCUCUUGGACAGCUUCAAAAUUGGAGGCUAACCCUCCCGCUAAACCCCCAGGAAAAGUCAAAACAGAAAAUCUGAAACCAAAUUCCAGAAAAUAUGGGCUACAGGGGUGAUCGUCUUGGCCUGCAGCUCUCCUCCCCCCUCGAACUACGCAGUGCGCAGCAAGCAGAAAAAAUGUCCCCGAGAUAAAGCAAGAUGAAGAGUCACUGAACCUCCGUCCGGACAUCCCUUGGAUUUCAUAUUGUUAUUAACAGGGUAGCUUGCAAGCAUGAUACUAUAACAAGGAUCAUUCCUCUUCCCCACUGUCAUUUGAAAGGCAGGAUGUCGCGUGGCAACAAACGACUGAAUUUUUUGAAAAAAAAAAAAAAGCGAAGGAAUCUACAGAAAAAAAAGAAACAAUUCCAUCACAGGCUGCUUUAAACAGAACACAAUUACAUUCCUGCUAACUAUUUAGGCAUGGCGAUCAAAAACAAGAACAAAAAGAAAUGGGCCAGUGAACCUUCAAUUGAGGAAGGAGGAAUAAAUGAAAUUCGAUGUCAACCCUCCUGCAACAGAAAAGACAAACGAACUUGAUUUGCUCGGUAUGUCUCCAGUUAGAAAUCGAUUGCUACAGUCCAGCAUCUUGCUUGUGUAGACUUUUUGCUGCCUGGUGCAAGGACAAAUCGCCGCCUGACUGUUGCCUUGGUGGAUGCCAUAUCAACUGAGAAUCCAAAACUGCAUGUCAGGUUCAAGGUCGACCUGCAGUAUGGCAUUCCAUUAUUGAAUUGAUCGUGACUUUUCAUGCGAAUUUGAAUUCUAUCAUACAUAUGCUCUAUCCAUCUAUCAAAGAUAAGCAACCAUACAUAUAUGCACAUCCCAGACCGUGCACAAGAACCACGCAAGAGAAACAAUAUCCUUAGUCCCUCUCCUACCUACCCGAAUACUCAGUCCAACCUACUCAGACCGGGUCACGCUCCUCAAAUUCCCAAAACUCAACACAUCCCCAAUCCGCUUCGCCCCCGUAAACA
Molecule: small RNA, 1315 nt
Filed under: Histoplasma capsulatum
Lineage: Eukaryota; Fungi; Ascomycota; Eurotiomycetes; Onygenales; Ajellomycetaceae
Also listed under: 1 other name
Description: hypothetical RNA
Source: RNAcentral